Molecule: non-coding RNA, 53 nt
Filed under: Mangrovibacter sp. MFB070
Lineage: Bacteria; Pseudomonadati; Pseudomonadota; Gammaproteobacteria; Enterobacterales; Enterobacteriaceae
Source: RNAcentral
GUAUUUUUUCCCGGCACCUGCAUAAUCAGGUGCCGGGAUUGGAACCCCGAAUU